This 504-nucleotide ribosomal RNA is filed under the name uncultured bacterium. RNAcentral describes it as "partial 16S ribosomal RNA". It matches the Rfam family "Bacterial small subunit ribosomal RNA", at positions 30 to 523 of the family's 1533-position model. The record is from RNAcentral.
AUUGAACGCUGGCGGCAUGCCUUACACAUGCAAGUCGAACGGCAGCAUGGAGAGCUUGCUCUCUGAUGGCGAGUGGCGAACGGGUGAGUAAAGCAUCGGAACGUACCGUGUAGUGGGGGAUAACGUAGCGAAAGUUACGCUAAUACCGCAUACGCACUGAGGUGGAAAGCAGGGGAUCGCAAGACCUUGCGCUAUACGAGCGGCCGAUGUCAGAUUAGCUAGUUGGUAGGGUAGAGGCCUACCAAGGCGACGAUCUGUAGCGGGUCUGAGUGGAUGAUCCGCCACACUGGGACUGAGACACGGCCCAGACUCCUACGGGAGGCAGCAGUGGGGAAUUUUGGACAAUGGGGGCAACCCUGAUCCAGCCAUGCCGCGUGAGUGAAGAAGGCCUUCGGGUUGUAAAGCUCUUUCGGCCGGGAAGAAAUCGCACAGGCUAAUACUCUGUGUGGAUGACGGUACCGGCAUAAGAAGCACCGGCUAACUACGUGCCAGCCGCCGCCGUAA